This 153-nucleotide ribosomal RNA is filed under the name uncultured fungus. RNAcentral describes it as "5.8S ribosomal RNA". It matches the Rfam family "5.8S ribosomal RNA". Rfam says of the family: 5.8S ribosomal RNA (5.8S rRNA) is a component of the large subunit of the eukaryotic ribosome. It is transcribed by RNA polymerase I as part of the 45S precursor that also contains 18S and 28S rRNA. Lineage: Eukaryota; Fungi. The record is from RNAcentral.
AACUUUCAACAACGGAUCUCUUGGCUCUCGCAUCGAUGAAGAACGCAGCGAAAUGUGAUAAGUAAUGUGAAUUGCAGAAUUCAGUGAAUCAUCGAAUCUUUGAACGCACCUUGCGCUCUCUGGUAUUCCGGAGAGCAUGUCUGUUUGAGUGUC